UACAGAGGGUGCGAGCGUUGUCCGGAAUUACUGGGCGUAAAGGGCGCGUAGGCGGUUCGAUAAGUAGGAGGUGAAAUCUCACGGCUCAACCGGGAGGCUGCCUUCUAGACUGUCGGACUUGAGCACGGUAGAGGCAGAUGGAAUUCCCGGUGUAGCGGUGGAAUGCGUAGAGAUCGGGAAGAACACCAGUGGCGAAGGCGGUCUGCUGGGCCGUUGCUGACGCUGAGGCGCGACAGCGUGGGGAGCAAACAGGAUUAGAUACCCUGGUAGUCCACGCCGUAAACGAUGGGCACUAGGCGUCGGGGGGAGCGACCCUCCCGGUGCCGUAGCUAACGCUCUAAGUGCCCCGCCUGGGGAGUACGGCCGCAAGGCUGAA
Molecule: ribosomal RNA, 376 nt
Filed under: uncultured bacterium
Lineage: Bacteria
Description: bacterial SSU rRNA
Rfam family: Bacterial small subunit ribosomal RNA
Source: RNAcentral